This 463-nucleotide ribosomal RNA is filed under the name Stictalia sp. 1 JCT-2008. Its description in RNAcentral is "partial 16S ribosomal RNA". The stretch from base 1 to 166 matches the Rfam family "Archaeal large subunit ribosomal RNA", at positions 1946 to 2146 of the family's 2987-position model. The record is from RNAcentral. Lineage: Eukaryota; Metazoa; Arthropoda; Insecta; Coleoptera; Staphylinidae.
AGUCUGGCCUGCCCAAUGAGUAAUUUAAUGGCCGCAGUAUUUUGACUGUGCAAAGGUAGCAUAAUCAUUAGUUUCUUAAUUAGAAACUGGAAUGAAAGGUUAAACGAGAAAAUAACUGUCUCUUAUUAAAUUAUUUAGAAUUUUAUUUUUUAGUUAAAAAGCUAAAAUAAAUUUAAAAGACGAGAAGACCCUAUAGAGUUUAAUAAUUUUUAUUAUAAAUAAUUAUUUAUUUAUUAUUUAAUUUUUUUAAUAAAAUUUAUUUUAUUGGGGUGAUAAAAAAAUUUAUAUAACUUUUUUUUAAUAAUAACAUUAAUAUAUGAUUUUUUGAUCCAUAAAUUAUGAUUAAAAGAUUAAGUUACCUUAGGGAUAACAGCGUAAUUUUUUUUAAGAGUUCAAAUCGAUAAAAGAGUUUGCGACCUCGAUGUYGGAUUAAAAUUUAAUUUUGGUGUAGAAGCUAAAAUAU